RNAcentral lists this long non-coding RNA (292 nucleotides) under Musa acuminata (dwarf banana). RNAcentral's name for it is "long non-coding RNA (MACU_LNC004787)". Lineage: Eukaryota; Viridiplantae; Streptophyta; Magnoliopsida; Zingiberales; Musaceae. The record is from RNAcentral.
AACAGUCGAAUCUCCUGGAGGAAAUUUACAUUUUACAGAACGCAGAAAGUCUGCUUUAAAUCUUGAAUGGUAAUAUUUUUUAUCUGUCUAUCAAACAUAAGAACAACAAUGGAAUUACGCAGACAACUAAUUACAUAACAAAGCUGACAACUAAUUACAUAACAAAGCAUCACGACAUGUACCGAUUGAAGUAUUUUUGAACCAAACUGCAGUCAAGAGCAAUAAUAACAAGAAGCUAUAAUGUCUCAGCUAUAGCAUAUAUCCUUGAACAGUUGGACGCACCUUGUUAUUG